GAGCGGAUCUUUUCGAUCGUUCGAUUCAUUUUUGGUGAACUUUGAAACACCGCAGCAUCCGGCCAUCUAAUAAAGAACUCUUUACUCAUGAAUAAUUCAACGUCGAACAAUAUCGAACAGUUACUAUAUACCGAUGAAAUAACGUAAAUCUUCCCUUGAACACGGAAUUUUCCCUCGUCGAGUUUUCUAUUUCGCGCAAUAAUCUUGAGGCCGGAAGUGUGACACGCGUGAUGCCAUUGCAAAUACAUGUAAGAAGAAAAGAGAGGGCCUAGAUUGUUCAGGGAUUUCGAGAUAGCCUCGUGGAUGAACUAGGAGACGACAGUGAUAUAUGAGUCUUGAACAGGGUUGGUAGUUUAUUCUCUCGAUCUUUAGAGAGAAGCCAUAAUCAGCUGUCACUGAUGCUGGUUAAAUUGAUU
Molecule: long non-coding RNA, 416 nt
Organism: Apis dorsata (giant honeybee)
Lineage: Eukaryota; Metazoa; Arthropoda; Insecta; Hymenoptera; Apidae
Exons: 2
Source: RefSeq, a predicted model, not a curated record